RNAcentral lists this ribosomal RNA (253 nucleotides) under uncultured bacterium. RNAcentral describes it as "partial 16S ribosomal RNA". It matches the Rfam family "Bacterial small subunit ribosomal RNA", at positions 524 to 776 of the family's 1533-position model. The record is from RNAcentral.
UACAGGGGGGGCAAGCGUUGUUCGGAAUUACUGGGCGUAAAGGGUUCGUAGGUGGCCACUUAAGUCAGACGUGAAAUCCCUCAGCUUAACUGGGGAACUGCGUCUGAUACUGAGUGGCUUGAGUGCAGGAGAGGAAUGCGGAAUUCCAGGUGUAGCGGUGAAAUGCGUAGAUAUCUGGAGGAACACCGGUGGCGAAGGCGGCAUUCUGGACUGUAACUGACGCUGAGGCACGAAAGUGUGGGGAUCAAACAGG